This 534-nucleotide ribosomal RNA is filed under the name uncultured bacterium. Its description in RNAcentral is "bacterial SSU rRNA". It matches the Rfam family "Bacterial small subunit ribosomal RNA", at positions 381 to 915 of the family's 1533-position model. The record is from RNAcentral.
GUCUGAACCAGCCAAGUAGCGUGCAGGAUGACGGCCCUAUGGGUUGUAAACUGCUUUUAUAUAGGGAUAAAGUCGGGGACGUGUCCCCGUUUGUAGGUACUAUAUGAAUAAGGACCGGCUAAUUCCGUGCCAGCAGCCGCGGUAAUACGGAAGGUCCAGGCGUUAUCCGGAUUUAUUGGGUUUAAAGGGAGCGCAGGCUGAUGAUUAAGCGUGACGUGAAAUGUAGCCGCUCAACGGCUGAACUGCGUCGCGAACUGGUUAUCUUGAGUGAGUUCGAUGUUGGCGGAAUUCGUGGUGUAGCGGUGAAAUGCUUAGAUAUCACGAAGAACUCCGAUUGCGAAGGCAGCCAACAAGGCCUUUACUGACGCUAAAGCUCGAAGGUGCGGGUAUCGAACAGGAUUAGAUACCCUGGUAGUCCGCACGGUAAACGAUGGAUGCCCGCUGUUUGCGAUAUACUGUGAGCGGCCAAGAGAAAUCGUUAAGCAUCCCACCUGGGGAGUACGCCGGCAACGGUGAAACUCAAAGGAAUUGACG